Molecule: long non-coding RNA, 252 nt
Filed under: Mytilus galloprovincialis (Mediterranean mussel)
Lineage: Eukaryota; Metazoa; Mollusca; Bivalvia; Mytilida; Mytilidae
Source: RNAcentral
AAACUGGUAGAUUCUUAGUUGUAUGUUUUUAUAGACCUCCAAAUGCACCAGUCACAUCACUUGACCAUUUUGAAAAUUUAUUAGAUAAUGUAAUAGAUACUGAUAAAAAUGUAAUAUUGCUUGGUGAUUUAAACAUAGAUUUACUAAAAGCAAGUCCGACUAGUAGGAUAUCAAGAAUCUGUGAAAGAUAUGGCAUAGAAAAUGUUGUUAAGGAACCUACUCGAAUAACCUCCUCAACUGCAACACUCUUAG